RNAcentral lists this ribosomal RNA (495 nucleotides) under uncultured bacterium. Its description in RNAcentral is "partial 16S ribosomal RNA". It matches the Rfam family "Bacterial small subunit ribosomal RNA", at positions 28 to 507 of the family's 1533-position model. The record is from RNAcentral.
GACGAACGCUGGCGGCGUGCCUAAUACAUGCAAGUAGAACGCUGAAGGAGGAGCUUGCUUCUCUUGAUGAUUUGCGAACGGGUGAGUAACGCGUAGGUAACCUGCCUGUUAGCGGGGGAUAACUAUUGGAAACGAUAGCUAAUACCGCAUAAGAGUAGAUGUUGCAUGACAUUUACUUAAAAGGUGCAAUUUCAUCACUACCAGAUGGACCUCCGUUGUAUUAGCUAGUUGGUGAGGUAACGGCUCACCAAGGCAACGAUACAGAGUCGGCCUGAGAAGGUGGUCGGCCACCAUGGGAAUGGGACAAGGCCCAGGCUCCUACGGGGGGCAGCAGUAGGGGAUCUUCGGGAAUGGACGGAAGUCUGACCGAGCAAAGCCGGGGGAGUGAAGAAGGGUUUCGGAUCGUAAAGCUCUGUUGUAAGAGAAGAACGAAUGUGGGAGUGAAAAGUUCACACUGUGACGGUAUCUUACCAGAAAGGGACGGCUAACUACGUG